AUGGAGGACGGUGGAGGCGGAGGAGGAGGAGGGGACGGCAAUAGCAUGCAUCUGCUCCUGAGCAUCCUGGCCGACGGCGAGGAGCAGGCGAGGCGGCUCCUCGGCGAGCUGCCGCCGGCCGACGACGAGGGGCAGCUGCUCGGGCAGGGGCCGGCGGCCGAGUGCUGCCGGGGCGUGGCGGAGCAGCUGCUGUGCACGUUCAGGAAGGCGAUCGCCGUCGCUAAGGCCAUCGAGGCGGCCGGCGGGGACUCGCCGCGGUCCGCCAACGAGGGCGGCGCCGGCAUGGCCGGCAGGGACGCGGCGCAGGCGCAGGAGCGCCAAGGCCAAGGCGUCUGCAAGAGAAGGAAGGGGCUGCCAAGAUGGACCGAAAAGUUCAGAAUACCCGACGACGCAAAUCUGGAGUACACGCCGGACGACGGAUUCAGCUGGAGGAAGUACGGCCAGAAGGACAUCCUCGGCGCCAAAUUCCCAAGGGGCUACUACCGGUGCACGUACCGCAACGCGCAGGGGUGCGCCGCCACGAGGCAGGUGCAGCGCUCCGACGCCGACCUCGCCGUGUUCGACGUCACGUACCAGGGAGCGCACACCUGCCUCCAGGCGCAGCGCCGCGCCGCCGCGCCUCCCCCUCCUCCCGACGUCCAACGGUCACCACCGGCGUUGCAGGACCCGGACAUGCAGCUGCUCGAGAAUUUCAGGAACGGCCUCAAGGUGGAGACCGACGGCCUGCCGCCGCCGCCGCCCUGCUUCCAUGGCGACGGCACCACAGCCUUCUCGUUUGCCUACGCCGCGGCAGGAGCAGCGGGCUACUCCCCGGCGGAGAGCGGCGGCCAGCGGCUCCUGCAGGGAGGGGGCUGCUUCGCCCCGGCGACUUUCUCCUCGCCGGCCGCAACGACGUCGGCCGGGCCGGGCUACUUCGCGCACUGCACGCGCGGGGCGCACGAGUCGCCGGAGCUCGCCGAGGUCGUGUCGGCGGCGACCGCCUCGGACCGGGCCGGCUUCGACUACUCGAUGUACCUGCACCAGCACGACCUGGACGCGCACCUGCCGUUCCCGUUCGACCCAAUGUUCGGCCACCCUUCCUCCCAUGGCCAACACGGAGACGCGUGA
This 1107-nucleotide ribosomal RNA is filed under the name Triticum aestivum (bread wheat). RNAcentral's name for it is "partial small subunit ribosomal RNA". Lineage: Eukaryota; Viridiplantae; Streptophyta; Magnoliopsida; Poales; Poaceae. The record is from RNAcentral.